This 619-nucleotide long non-coding RNA is filed under the name Monodelphis domestica (gray short-tailed opossum). RNAcentral describes it as "lncRNA (ENSMODG00000044432.1)". The record is from RNAcentral. Lineage: Eukaryota; Metazoa; Chordata; Mammalia; Didelphimorphia; Didelphidae.
CUGGCACAGAAUUAGAGUAUACAGAAUGGAUGCUUGCCUAGGUUUAUCUGCUUGGAGAGCUACUGGGAAUGGAAGCUCAGCCCCUUUCCUCCCAAAGACAGAAGGGAAGAAUAGAAGAUGCUAGGACAGUAUGAUGUCAGGGAGAGGAAGAUGUGGACGAUGACCUGUAGAGAGGGCCCCGGGUCCAGACUUUCUUCAAUUCAUUCCUCUAUUGGACCCACAGCAGCUAGUAAAUCCUGGACUUCUUCUUGCAGCCUUUUUCAGUCAUUUUCCACAUAUCCAUUGUGGCACCUGCAAAGACCUGUCUGCCCUGCCCUAAGGAAGCUUUGGUCUUCUAGCUGUUCUUUUCCCUGGUGAAGCAUGAACUCAAUUCAGACUUUCAUGAAAAUCAGAUGGAGUUUGAUGCCACGAAGGGUGGUUUACCAACGAGGAUUUGGUCCAGAGAACAGAAAAUAACCACAAUAGAUGGGAGCAGACCCAAGCUAAGAUACAGACAUGGCUUGGAAACAGAAUUUUAGGGGGAAGCUAGGGAGCACAGUGGAUAGAGUACCGGGUCUGGAGGCUGGAGGACCUGGGUUCAAAUUUGAGCUCAGACACUUCCUAGCUGUGUGACCCUGGG